GAUGAAGAACGUAGCGAAAUGCGAUAAGUAAUGUGAAUUGCAGAAUUCAGUGAAUCUUCGAAUCUUUGAACGCACAUUGCGCCCCCUGGAAUUCCGGGGGGCAUGCCUGUUCGAGCGUCUCAGGGACGAACCCUCGCGCGGGUGUACGCGCGGUCGUGGCUGCGGUGGCGUGCCCGAGGCGGCGGCCACCGCGCUGGAAUCCAUGGGCGGACGCCUGCCGCGUGGCCGAGCGUGAUAUGACGCAUUGGCGCUCGCACGCGGAGAGGCUGCCAGCCCUGGCCCGUCUGUCGGGCGGGGGAGAGCAAGACACGUGAACUCCUCGAAUCAGGUAGGGAUACCCGCUGAACUUAAGCAUAUCAAUAAGCGGAGGA
This 371-nucleotide unclassified non-coding RNA is filed under the name soil metagenome. RNAcentral describes it as "partial contains 5.8S ribosomal RNA, internal transcribed spacer 2, and large subunit ribosomal RNA". The stretch from base 1 to 120 matches the Rfam family "5.8S ribosomal RNA", at positions 35 to 154 of the family's 154-position model. The record is from RNAcentral.